This 249-nucleotide ribosomal RNA is filed under the name uncultured Comamonadaceae bacterium. RNAcentral's name for it is "partial 16S ribosomal RNA". It matches the Rfam family "Bacterial small subunit ribosomal RNA", at positions 355 to 596 of the family's 1533-position model. The record is from RNAcentral. Lineage: Bacteria; Pseudomonadati; Pseudomonadota; Betaproteobacteria; Burkholderiales; Comamonadaceae.
UGGGGAAUUUUGGACAAUGGACGCAAGUCUGAUCCAGCCAUUCCGCGUGCAGGAUGAAGGCCCUCGGGUUGUAAACUGCUUUUGUACGGAACGAAAAGGUUUCUAUUAAUACUAGGAGCUCAUGACGGUACCGUAAGAAUAAGCACCGGCUAACUACGUGCCAGCAGCCGCGGUAAUACGCAGGGUGCCAGCGUUAAUCGGAAUUACUGGGCGUAAAGCGUGCGCAGGCGGUUAUAUAAGACAGAUGUG